AGCAGCCGCGGUAAUUCCAGCUCCAAUAGCGUAUAUUAAAGUUGUUGCAGUUAAAAAGCUCGUAGUUGAAUUUCGGGGUUAGUAAGUUGGUCAUGCCUUCGGUAUGUACUGGCUUUACUGAUUCCUCCUUCUUGACGAACCGUGAUGUCAUUAAUUUGGUGUUGCGGGAAAUCAGGACUGUUACUUUGAAAAAAUUAGAGUGUUUAAAGCAGGCUAACGCUUGAAUACAUUAGCAUGGAAUAAUGAAGUAGGACGUUAAUCCUAUUUUGUUGGUUUCUAGGAUCGACGUAAUGAUUAAUAGGGAUAGUUGGGGGCAUUAGUAUUCAAUUGUCAGAGGUGAAAUUCUUGGAUUUAUUGAAGACUAACUACUGCGAAAGCAUUUGCCAAGGAUGUUUUCAUUAAUCAAGAACGAAAGUUAGGGGAUCGAAGACGAUCAGAUACCGUCGUAGU
This 450-nucleotide ribosomal RNA is filed under the name uncultured Glomeromycotina. RNAcentral's name for it is "SSU rRNA". It matches the Rfam family "Eukaryotic small subunit ribosomal RNA", at positions 569 to 1024 of the family's 1831-position model. The record is from RNAcentral. Lineage: Eukaryota; Fungi; Glomeromycota.